RNAcentral lists this ribosomal RNA (642 nucleotides) under uncultured Pseudomonadota bacterium. RNAcentral describes it as "bacterial SSU rRNA". It matches the Rfam family "Bacterial small subunit ribosomal RNA", at positions 74 to 709 of the family's 1533-position model. The record is from RNAcentral. Lineage: Bacteria; Pseudomonadati; Pseudomonadota.
AGCAGCUUACUGCUUUGCUGACGAGUGGCGGACGGGUGAGUAAUGUCUGGGAAACUGCCUGAUGGAGGGGGAUAACUACUGGAAACGGUAGCUAAUACCGCAUAACGUCGCAAGACCAAAGAGGGGGACCUUCGGGCCUCUUGCCAUCGGAUGUGCCCAGAUGGGAUUAGCUAGUAGGUGGGGUAAAGGCUCACCUAGGCGACGAUCCCUAGCUGGUCUGAGAGGAUGACCAGCCACACUGGAACUGAGACACGGUCCAGACUCCUACGGGAGGCAGCAGUGGGGAAUAUUGCACAAUGGGCGCAAGCCUGAUGCAGCCAUGCCGCGUGUAUGAAGAAGGCCUUCGGGUUGUAAAGUACUUUCAGCGGGGAGGAAGGGAGUAAAGUUAAUACCUUUGCUCAUUGACGUUACCCGCAGAAGAAGCACCGGCUAACUCCGUGCCAGCAGCCGCGGUAAUACGGAGGGUGCAAGCGUUAAUCGGAAUUACUGGGCGUAAAGCGCACGCAGGCGGUUUGUUAAGUCAGAUGUGAAAUCCCCGGGCUCAACCUGGGAACUGCAUCUGAUACUGGCAAGCUUGAGUCUCGUAGAGGGGGGUAGAAUUCCAGGUGUAGCGGUGAAAUGCGUAGAGAUCUGGAGGAAUAC